UGGCCAAUUAGUGUUUGGUUGUUCGUUUCAGCUAUCAUAGCUUUUCCUUAGCACUUGCCAUGCCAUGUUCAGACAUUGCAUUAAAUGCAUGGUUUGAGUUCUCUAUCUUCUCUCUUACUCAUAAAGGACUUUUAGAUGGCUAAUUUAUGUUGAGAACAGAAAAUGUUCAGGCACCAAAAGAAGGGAACUGCAAUGUUUUUCAAUACCUAGAUCAAGCUGCUAAAAUGUUAUACAGAUAACUGGUUCUCUAACUACUGUACAUGUAGAAAGGCAUGUGUUAAGAAAAAUAAAAAGAAAAAUAAUUACCAAAAAAAUCUGGUUUACAUUAAAAAUGCAGUCAAGGCAAAGAUUUAUGCGUACAUAGAUCUAAUAGCAUAUGUUGCAG
This 385-nucleotide long non-coding RNA is filed under the name Elaeis guineensis (African oil palm). RNAcentral describes it as "long non-coding RNA (EGUI_LNC000571)". Lineage: Eukaryota; Viridiplantae; Streptophyta; Magnoliopsida; Arecales; Arecaceae. The record is from RNAcentral.